Molecule: ribosomal RNA, 503 nt
Filed under: uncultured bacterium
Lineage: Bacteria
Description: partial 16S ribosomal RNA
Rfam family: Bacterial small subunit ribosomal RNA
Source: RNAcentral
AUUGAACGCUGGCGGCAGGCUCAACACAUGCAAGUCGAGCGGGGUGAUGGUGCUUGCACUAUCACUUAGCGGCGGACGGGUGAGUAAUGCUUAGGAAUCUGCCUAUUAGUGGGGGACAACAUCUCGAAAGGGAUGCUAAUACCGCAUACGUCCUACGGGAGAAAGCAGGGGAUCACUUGUGACCUUGCGCUAAUAGAUGAGCCUAAGUCGGAUUAGCGAGUUGGUGGGGUAAAGGCCUACCAAGGCGACGAUCUGUGGCGGGUCUGAGAGGAUGAUCCGCCACACUGGGACUGGGACACGGCCCAGACUCCUACGGGAGGCAGCAGUGGGGAAUAUUGGACAAUGGGGGGAACCCUGAUCCAGCCAUGCCGCGUGUGUGAAGAAGGCCUUAUGGUUGUAAAGCACUUUAAGCGAGGAGGAGGCUCUUUUGGUUAAUACCCAAGACGAGUGGACGUUACUCGCAGAAUAAGCACCGGCUAACUCUGUGCCAGCCGCCGCCGUAA